This 107-nucleotide small nucleolar RNA is filed under the name Helianthus annuus (common sunflower). Its description in RNAcentral is "Plant small nucleolar RNA R71". It matches the Rfam family "Plant small nucleolar RNA R71". From Rfam's summary of the family: R71 is a member of the C/D box family of snoRNAs containing the C (UGAUGA) and D (CUGA) box motifs. Multiple nearly identical copies of this snoRNA have been identified in Arabidopsis, and it is thought to function as a 2'-O-ribose methylation guide for 18S ribosomal RNA. The record is from RNAcentral. Lineage: Eukaryota; Viridiplantae; Streptophyta; Magnoliopsida; Asterales; Asteraceae.
AACCCAUGAUGUGGGACAUCAAUCAAAAGAUCUCUGAAUCUCUCCCAAGCUGCAUGUAGAGAUUCCCCGUCGUCCUGCUUGAACAUCAUAAUAUGAUUCUUUAGGUU